Molecule: microRNA precursor, 123 nt
Filed under: Hordeum vulgare
Lineage: Eukaryota; Viridiplantae; Streptophyta; Magnoliopsida; Poales; Poaceae
Description: microRNA MIR1122
Rfam family: MIR1120/MIR1122 microRNA precursor family
Source: RNAcentral
CUACUACUCCCUCCGUCCGGAAAUAAUUGUUUAAAAAUAGAUGAAUCUAGAUUUAUUUUAGUUACAGAUACAUUCAUUAUAUCAAUUUUUAAGACAAGUAUUUCCAGACGGAGGAAGCAUUUU